RNAcentral lists this long non-coding RNA (1978 nucleotides) under Equus caballus (horse). RNAcentral describes it as "lncRNA (ENSECAG00000045690.1)". The record is from RNAcentral. Lineage: Eukaryota; Metazoa; Chordata; Mammalia; Perissodactyla; Equidae.
AUUUCUGUUCGGAGAUGAUUGUGACAUCCCUGGAGAUGUAACAAUACUUCCCUGGUGCUGCAUGAGAUCCACCCGACCCUCCAGUAAAGUGCUCAUCCCCAAGGGACAUAACUCGCUCCCCUUCCCAUUGUCAUCCACUAUCUAUGCGGUCUGGAGGGGACUGGCGCGUGGUUGACAGCUGGGAGAGGAAUGAAGUCCGCUUCUGUAGCAGCUGGCAGGGGCUCCAGGGGAGCUGAGGCUAACGGGCCUGCCUCGCUCCAACCUCCCCUCCUACUGCCUGGAUUACUAACGAGCUGUCCCAGGUUACUGGCAAUGCUAGAAGGCCCCGUGGCUCCACAAUGGCCCAGAUAACUCCUUCUAGGCACGAGAGACAGUAAGGCCAAAUUCCCCGGGUGGAAAUAAAAGGAAGAGUGUCGUACCUAGGUUACACUUAAAGGAAGCUUUUUGAAGAAACAAAGAUAAAAUUCCUCUAGGGAAUUCAGUUAAAUGACUCCCUCUCCCCAAAAAUAGAGGAAAAGAAUCUUGGCUUUAAUCUUCACCCAAGAAGAUGGCAAGAAGCUCAAUGUAUGUAUAUAGACUCUAGAGGCGGUUCUGAAAAAAUUGGGGCACAAUUGUUGGAAUACUGAGAGGCAAAAAUAUAAACCUCAAGGUUUUCAUGUAUCUUCUACUAAAUUAAUUGGAUCAAUGCUGAGUCAUUUCCCCCUUUGCCGAGGUAGAAACCAAAGUGGUUCUUGUGAGAUGACGGAAAACCUAGUUAAUCCACCCGACCCCAUAACAAGGAUUUCUCUGAACUUGCCCCAGGCCGGAUGGUCCCAACUCACCUUCUUGGUGACCCUCUAUUAACAUAUGUAAAGACUUUCAAAGUGACUUCUAAAGCUGUCCUGUUUUGUUUAAAGGCUGCUGACAGCUUUCUGACUCCAUUCCCAAGCCUGAACUUAUGAAUUUAUUGCAUUGCUAUCCUGUGAAGACUAAACCAGAUCUAGGUAAUUUCAGGCUAUUAAUGGAAAUUAUUUCAGUCUCCGUUACCUCAGUUCUCCCCAGCACGCAUCCCACACUCACACUCUCUGGCCCCAGCUACUCUAUGCCUUCACCACCACGCUAUGGCUCAUGGAACAUGGUGUUUCUCAGGGCAAAACAGCUGGGUAACCAACAGGGGUACUGUUUAAGAUGUAUAAUCAAGAGCCCAAGGAUGGCUGAGGAGAAGACAGGUCAACCCUCUCAGGAGAAAGUCAGGAUGCUCUGCCCAGUUUCCAGACCUAAGCUGCUUCUCAGACCCAGAAUCCGUUGACUGAAGGAGAAGCUAAGUCCUCAUGAGGGUGGAUCCUGCAACCACAGAGCAAGAGUCAGUCCUUCCUCAAGGACCUACGCCCGCUAAUUCAGAAAAAGUUUCCUGACUCCUGACAUAGGGGGUUGAGAAGAGGACUGGAAGGAGUGAGACUGGAAGACUGGGAAAGGAAAGUCCGGGGAAGAGGCAGGUGGUUGGUCCCGUGUUAGUGGACAUAAAUGUACUAUCUUUGUAUAUCACAUUAAAGUCCACCAGACAGCAUCCACUGCAGAUGACACAGUAAAUAGCCACGUGGACCAAGGACUCAGCCAAUACACAUCAGCAAAAGUCUGUCCUUGGUGACACAUCUAGGUAUACAGUCAUAUGCCACAUAGUGACGUUUCAGUCAACGAUGGACCACAUAGACAACAGUGGCCCCUUAGGAUUAGUACCACACAGCCUAGGUGUGCAGUAGGCUAUAUCAUCUAGGUUCGUGUAAGUACACUCUACGAUGUUUUCACAACGAUGACAUUGCCUAAUGACGCAUUUCUCGGAACGUAUCCCCGUUGUCAAGUGACACUUGACAGUAUUAUAAUACCUAGAACAUAACCACUAAAGAAACUAUUAAAAGAUUCAAGUCAUAUCAAGUAUGUUCUCUGGCCACAGUGGAAAUAAAUUUGAAAUCAAUACCAGAAAUAUCUCAGAAAAAUUCCC